UGGAGAGAACAGGAAGGGUAUAAAAAGAGUCUCAGAAAUUCGAACAGGAGUUGGAGUUGAAUCGUUUCAGGCCGAUCCGGCGGGCAGUGUAGAGGUUUGGGCAGAGUCAGCAUUGGUGAAGGCAGAGGGACUUCACGGGGUGAAGAAGGAGACAAGGACACUAGCAACUGGGCUGAGUAUACAACAUUUAUUGAUGUUUGAUGAGACCAUCUAUAUAUAAACUACUGAUGUGUUGGAGUCACAGUCAUAGGAAGUACUCACCGGAAGUAACGUCAAGGGCGAUCUCCAGCAACGGAAAACCGAUGGUGUGAAGAGGAUUGGACAGCUAGAAGGAGAAGGAGACAAAGGAAGAGUGUUAUCGUUCAUUUGUGAGUACUAUUGGACAGUGCAUUGUACAUCAUUGGGGAGAGUGCAUUAUCCAGCAUAUGUUGUGAGCAUCUGGUAAAUAGGCCAGCGGCCCCAUUACGGAGCAGAGUUUUGGGUGAGCCGGGAAGUACGAGUACAGGAAGCCGCAAGCAGUCGUGACGGCAACGUUAUUCCUCCGGCCCUUCAUCUAUCAACAACGCCCAACGAAACCCCAGGAUAAGUCCUAGUAAACCGUGGUUCUGACCCUAUUUCACGUAGAGUGUGUGGAGUGCAGUGGGUGAGUCCUUGUCUUUGCUGUGAGUGUGUACACUUGAAAUCUUGCAGUGUUAUGCUGUGGUUGUGUUGUCAGUAGCCACCCUAGACUGGAUGAGUCGUGGGGGAGACCAGGACCAUUGAGGCUGGUGAAGCGCCAUUUUCAUCUAAAUGCCAUUUUGCGACCCCUGCAUGGAGACCCAAAUGUAACGUCCUGUCUAGACCCUUUCGGAAUACCCUGGCUCUGUGGAAGCGGUGGUGAAGAAUACACGUAAGCAAGACUGGUGUGAGUAAAAGCCAAAAUUAUACCUAUAUGCAAGAAGGAAGUUUUACUGUUGCAAAUUAGCUGUGUGGAUUUACUUUACCUGUUGUGGAGCCUCUUCAAAGGUUCACCCCGGUCCAGAUCCCUUAAACUGCAAAUAGAAGAGAGGAGAGGGAAGCGUUCGGGCCGGUGCGACAGUGUUUAACUUUCCCCGACGCACAGGAAAUCCCUGUGGAGGCCUGCGCUACGACGAUUUACUACUCCAGUGCCAUUGGAGUUCUGUGUCGCGGGUUGGCGCUCACCUCGGAGUGUGCAGAAGGGGAGGCGCCGCCCGAGCACCCUGUACGAAGAGAUCGGAGGAACAAGUCGUUUAUCAGCCAGUCGUAUGGACCCAAGUAACAGGUAGCCACUCUCACCGGAUCGAUUACUCAUUGUGUGUUUCACUCUGCCUUCAGGAGAAAAGGGCGCCACGAGUCAACAAAAGCCCAAAGCGACAUACUAACCCUCGCCGCAUAGUCCUCUCCGGCCCCUUUCUCCUCCUGCUGAACAGAGACGAUAAUUUUAAGAUUUACCUCCCCCUCCCUGAAUUAUUUUAAUUUAAAUAAAGUUGUUUUAAUAUUA
Molecule: long non-coding RNA, 1501 nt
Organism: Carassius gibelio (silver crucian carp)
Lineage: Eukaryota; Metazoa; Chordata; Actinopteri; Cypriniformes; Cyprinidae
Exons: 2
Source: RefSeq, a predicted model, not a curated record